Molecule: ribosomal RNA, 253 nt
Filed under: uncultured bacterium
Lineage: Bacteria
Description: partial 16S ribosomal RNA
Rfam family: Bacterial small subunit ribosomal RNA
Source: RNAcentral
UACGUAGGGUGCAAGCGUUGUCCGGAAUUAUUGGGCGUAAAGAGCUCGUAGGCGGUUUGUCGCGUCUGCUGUGAAAACUCGGGGCUUAACUCCGGGCCUGCAGUGGGUACGGGCAGACUAGAGUGCGGUAGGGGAGACUGGAAUUCCUGGUGUAGCGGUGAAAUGCGCAGAUAUCGGGAGGAACACCGGUGGCGAAGGCGGGUCUCUGGGCCGUAACUGACGCUGAGGAGCGAAAGCGUGGGGAGCGAACAGG